This 1158-nucleotide ribosomal RNA is filed under the name uncultured Rhizaria. RNAcentral describes it as "bacterial SSU rRNA". It matches the Rfam family "Eukaryotic small subunit ribosomal RNA", at positions 20 to 1162 of the family's 1831-position model. The record is from RNAcentral.
GUAGUCAUAUGCUUGUCUCAAAGAUUAAGCCAUGCAAGUCUAAGUAUAAGCGAACUUAUACAGUGAAACUGCAGAUGGCUCAUUAAAACAGUUUGAAUUUAUUUGAUGGAUGUAAGGAAUUACUAGAUGGAUAACCGUAGUAAUUCUAGAGCUAAUACAUGCAAGAAUGCCCUUUCGGGGGUUGUAUUUAUUGGAUACAAGAACCAAACUCCUCGGAGUUUUGUUUGUUGAUUCACAAUAACUGAUCGAAUCGAGCUUUUGCUCGAUAGGUCAUUCAACAUUCUGCCCUAUCAGCUUUCGAUGGUUCUGUAGUGGAGAACCAUGGCAUUAACGGGUAACGGAGAAUCAGGGUUCGAUUCCGGAGAGGGAGCCUGAGAAACGGCUACCACAUCUAAGGCAGGCAGCAGGCGCGCAAAUUACCCAAUCCUGACUCAGGGAGGUAGUGACAAAAAAUAACAAUACCGGAUCUUUUUGGGUCUGGUAAUUGGAAUGAGAACAAGUUAAACUUAUUAUUGAGGAUCAAUUGGAGGGCAAGUCUGGUGCCAGCAGCCGCGGUAAUACCAGCUCCAAUAGCGUAUAUUAAAGUUGUUGCAGUUAAAAAGCUCGUAGUCGUAUUUGAGCGUGUGAUGUUUUGUGGUCUGCAUUCAAAAGAGUGUGGUGACCCAUUCAUCUUCGCAAUUAACCAUUGGGUCGGCGCUGGUCUUGAUUGACUUGGUGUCGUUUAAUCUCGAUGGAUCAUUUACUGUGAGAAAAGUAGAGUGUUCAAGGCAGGCGUGUUUUGCAAUUGAAUAUGUUAGCAUGGAAUAAUAAGAUAGGACUUUCAGAUCUAUUUUGUUGGUUUCUAGUUUGGAAGUAAUGAUUGAUAGGGAUAGUUGGGGGUGCUAGUAUUGAAUGGCCAGAGGUGAAAUUCAUGGAUUCAUUCAAGACUAACUAAUGCGAAAGCAUUCACCAAGGAUGUCCUCUUUGAUCAAGAACGAAAGUUGGGGGAUCGAAGACGAUCAGAUACCGUCGUAGUCUCAACCAUAAACUAUGCCGACUAGGGAUUGGACGUCGUUUUUCUUUUAUUAAGACUCGUUCAGCACCUCAUGAGAAAUCAAAGUGUUUGGGUUCCGGGGGGAGUAUGGUCGCAAGGCUGAAACUUAAAGGAAUUGACGGAAG